RNAcentral lists this ribosomal RNA (254 nucleotides) under uncultured bacterium. RNAcentral's name for it is "partial 16S ribosomal RNA". It matches the Rfam family "Bacterial small subunit ribosomal RNA", at positions 524 to 776 of the family's 1533-position model. The record is from RNAcentral.
UACAGGGGGGGCGAGCGUUGUUCGGAAUUACUGGGCGUAAAAGGCUUGUAGGUGGCCACGCCAAGUCGGAUGUGAAAUCUCCCGGCUCAACUGGGAGGGGUCAUUCGAUACUGGCGGGCUCGAGGCCGGUAGGGGGAAGUGGAAUUCCCGGUGUAGUGGUGGAAUGCGUAGAUAUCGGGAGGAACACCAGUGGCGAAGGCGGCUUCCUGGACCGGUUCUGACACUGAGGAGCGAAAGCGUGGGGAGCGAUCCGG